Molecule: ribosomal RNA, 440 nt
Filed under: uncultured Anaerolineaceae bacterium
Lineage: Bacteria; Bacillati; Chloroflexota; Anaerolineae; Anaerolineales; Anaerolineaceae
Description: bacterial SSU rRNA
Rfam family: Bacterial small subunit ribosomal RNA
Source: RNAcentral
CCUACGGGGGGCUGCAGUAGGGAAUAUUAGAAAUGGACGAAAGUCUGAUCUAGCGACACCGCGUGUGCGAUGAAGGCCUUCGGGUUGUAAAGCACUUUUUGGAAGGAAUAGGAAGGAAGGUACUUCCAGAAUAAGUCUCGGCUAACUACGUGCCAGCAGCCGCGGUAACACGUAGGAGGCAAACGUUAUCCGGAUUUACUGGGCGUAAAGCGCGUGUAGGUGGUUUUGUAAGUAGGGCGUGAAAGCUCCCGGCUCAACUGGGAGAGGCCGUUCUAAACUGCAGAACUAGAGGAUGGUAGAGGGAGGUGGAAUUCCAGGUGUAGCGGUGGAAUGCGCAGAUAUCUGGAGGAACACCAGUGGCGAAAGCGGCCUCCUGGACCAUUCCUGACACUCAGACGCGAAAGCUAGGGUAGCAAACGGGAUUAGAUACCCCAGUAGUC